GAUGAAGAACGCAGCGAAAUGCGAUAAGUAAUGUGAAUUGCAGAAUUCCGUGAAUCAUCGAAUCUUUGAACGCACAUUGCGCCCUCUGGUAUUCCGGGGGGCAUGCCUGUCCGAGCGUCAUUUGCAACCCUCAAGCCCGGCUUGUGUGAUGGGUGCCGUCCCCUACGGGACGCGCCACGAAGGCAAUGGCGGCGUCGCGGUUAUCCGAUCAGCCAAAGUGUAUGGGGCUUUGUCACUCACUUUACGGCCCGGACCGGCGCCAGUCCGAAUCAAUCUUUUUUCUAAAGUUGACCUCGGAUCAGGUAGGGAUACCCGCUGAACUUAAGCAUAUCAAUAAGCGGAGGA
This 345-nucleotide unclassified non-coding RNA is filed under the name soil metagenome. Its description in RNAcentral is "partial contains 5.8S ribosomal RNA, internal transcribed spacer 2, and large subunit ribosomal RNA". The stretch from base 1 to 120 matches the Rfam family "5.8S ribosomal RNA", at positions 35 to 154 of the family's 154-position model. The record is from RNAcentral.